Long non-coding RNA from Helianthus annuus (common sunflower), 1506 nucleotides. RefSeq lists it as uncharacterized. The transcript is spliced from 4 exons. The record is from RefSeq and is a predicted model, not a curated record. Lineage: Eukaryota; Viridiplantae; Streptophyta; Magnoliopsida; Asterales; Asteraceae.
GUCAGACUACCACCGCAGCCGUCAGACAUGGCUACUGCUUUUUCCUGCAACUUCAAUAAAUCAUCGGGUGUUGAAGAACGAUCGUUGACUGCUCAUCGGAUUUCGGAAGACCCAACUCGUUUCAGGUAGCUGUUAAUCGUAUAAAUUCUGUAUAAUUCAUUGAACUUUAACAAGCUAUCCUUUAAAAGGUUUAACGCUCACCGUGUAAAAUGAAUAUUGACCAAUAUAAAAGGUUUAACGCUCUUGCGUUGGGAUUCAGUCGAAUCUGAAAAAUUUGGAUAUUUUUUUGGUAAAGUUAAUCAGGAUUCAUAUGUUUUCUAUAUUUUACAUUGGGUAUUCUUUCUGUAGGUGUUUUAAUAAAAGUUUUUUCAAUUACACACAAAUCUUCAAGUAGUUUAGUUCAUAUACAUACAACUUGUCCAAAGUUUAUACUUAUAAAAUUUUGUAGGGGCUAUCCCCUUGUCAUCGAAUUAAACACAAGCAACUUCUAAGAAUCUAAUCAGAAAACUUGAAUCAAAUUGGCAUUGAUUUUAAGGGCUUAACAACUUAACAUUCUAUGUUAUUUCAUUUUUAGGGCAAUGGUCAUAAGCCAUCUCCGUGUGGAGAACCUGAAGGCUGAUGAUCAUAACCAUAAAGAUGAUGGUUAGGGUGAGGUGGCACUACAAGAAAACAUAGCAUUAGGGGCGGCAUCUUUAGGGUUAACUGCUGCAUUUUUUGAUAAAUAGGUUUAGAGAGUAGUUGAAGUUAGAGGUGCACAAAUCGGGUUAGGGUUUGAACCCGAAUCGGCUUCAAACUGCUUUGAAGUGAAGCUUAAAAAAGUCAUGGGUUAAUACAGGUUUAGGAUGCUAAAACAGGCACCAACUUAUUCUUCUUUGAAGGACAUGAUGCACCUGUUAGUUCUAUAUGCCGCAUAGCAAAGAUAACGUUCAGUAUAUAUCUUUUCAACGGCUACCAAUAGAAAGAUCAAGGCGUGGUUACAUGUUGAUCAAGUUUCAAAAAUUGAUUAUGAAACCCCUGGUUACAUCUGGACGAAAUGGCAUACAAUACUGAUGGGUCAUGUAACGCUUAGCAUUUCUGUAUAGUCCAUAUUUAGACGAAAUGGCAUACAAUACUGAAGCUUAAAGAAGUCAUGGGUUAAUAAAGGUUUAGGAUGCUAAAACAAGCACUAACUUAUUCAUCUUUGAAGGACAUGACGCACCUGUUAGUUCUAUAUGCCGCAUAGCAAAGAUAACAUUCAGUAUAUAUCUUUUCAACGACUAUCAAUAGAAAGAUCAAGGCAUGGUUACAUGUGGAUCGAGUUUCAAAAAUUGAUUAUGAAACCAAUGGUUAUGUCUGGACGAAAGGGCAUACAAUACCGAUGGGUCAUGUAACGCUUCGCAUUUCUGUAUAAUCCAUAUUUAGAAAAUUGUAUUCACAUUUAUAUAUAUAGAAACUUAUACUCGUAUUUCAUUUCCAAUCUUGUAAUCCGAGACUUCGAUCAUAAUAAGAAAAUCGUAUUUAUAUUAA